CCAAUUCCUUUAAUUCUUUUUUAUGGAUAUCAACACAAUAAUGACAACCGUUAAUUUUAGAAAUUAAUAACUUAAUCAAUGCACUAAGUUCAUCAUUAACGGGUGAUUGAUGAAUAAACUUUUCACCUUGGCUCAUUACAGACAUUAACUCUCCAUUUUGUUUCUUGUAAUUAUACGGCAUUUGCAAUCUCUCCUUUACAUUGUUUAAUACCAAUCCAGUGAUACUACACUUCGAACAAUAUUGGAUAGAAUUUGAAAUUCUGUAUAACAUCUUGUCAAUCUAUGCUUUAGUUAAAACAUUUAGCGCUUAUAUUUAAAAAAUAUAUAAAAUAUGAAAACAGAUUGAAAGGAUAUUAUACCUUGCUCUACCCUUUUUUAUAAAAAAUCACACACAUUUGAGAAAAUUUGAUAAUGUCAAUAAAUCACGCCAUCGCCAUUGUUAUUAGGUAUAUAUUGUUCUUAUAAUGGCCAAACUAUUAUUCCAUUUACAUUAAUGGGGUUCGCUUGUGUUAAUGUACUGUAAAAAACUGGGGAAGUAUUGGUGAUGAUGAAGUGAUUUAUAUUAAUUGCGAAACACCUUCGAUAGCAAACGAUAUUAAACAUGUACAAAUCAAGCUAAAUAUUACGUGAAAAUCACUGUUUAGUGUUUUUCUUUUUGUUUAUUUCUUCUUUAAUUUUUUCAGGAGAUUUUAAAUUUUCAGCGUUCUUUAAUUUUCCUAAGACUUCAUUACUUCCUGUCAAUCCUCCAGUGAAUUGAUAGUUUUCUUCAGGUGACCCAUAUGCAACAAAAUCAGCUUCUUUAUUUUCAUUGAUGUAACCUUCAAUUACUGCAUCGCCCAUAGGUCCUCUUUUUAAACUUGUGAAAUGUACAGAUUUGAUGGUAUUGGGUUCUUUGGUAUUAUGCUUGAGAUAAAGUGUAAUGCGCUCUUGUUGUCCUUUGUAAUAAAUUUCUUUUUGUUUUUCUUUUUCGUCAUAUUUCAUUUUUAAAUAAAUGACGGAUGCAACUAUACAUAUACAUAAAAUGACACCAAUAAUUAUAAAACCAUGUUUUUUGGACAUUAAAGCAACUCCUAACUUUAGUAACUCUUCUUUUUAUUUAGUUCUUUUUUUAUACCAUCUGGUGAUUUUAAUUGAUGCGCUGGUUUUAGUAACUCACUUAAUCUUUCACUUUUAAUUAAAUCACCUACAAAUUGAAAGUUAUUUUCAGGUGAUGCAUAGGCAACAAAAUCAUCUUUUUUGUUUUCAUUUAUGUAACCUUCAAUCACAGCACUUCCCAUAGGACUUGUUUCCAAUUUUGUGAAAUGCACAGAUUUAAUCGUGUUCGGUUCUUUAGUGUUAUGCUUGAGAUAAAGUGUAAUGCGCGCUUGUUGUUCUUUAUAGUAUAUUGAUUUUUGUUUUUCUUUUUCGUCAUAUUUCAUUUUAAAAUAGAUACUUGCAACACUAAUUAAUAUGAUUAACAUAAUACUAGUUAAUAUUAAAAUUUUCUUUUUCGACAUCUAUCACCAGCUCCUAAAAUGUGGUGGGAUUUUAUACAGUUUACAUAUUUAUGAUACUACAAAACACACUCUUACAAAGAAAAUCUAUAAUUUUAAUCUAGGUCAAGGAAAAGCAGCCAAAAGUGUUCAUUUAAGAUCAUCGGAAUAUUGCGGUUAUGAAGUGGUUAACAGAUAAAUACAGUGAAAAUUGUACUAAAAAUUCAACUUUUCAUUUUUAUGUGUAAGUAUGAUUAACUUGAAAGCAAAAUUAAAACGACCGCAUUGUUUUAGCGGUCGUUCUUUUUAGAAUCUAGUUCUUUUUUUAUAUCAUCAGGCGUUUUGGUUUGAUGUGCUGGUUUUAAUAAUGUGCUUAAAUUUUUACUUUUGAUUAAACUUCCACCAAAUUGAUAAUUAUGUUCUGGAGACCCAUAUGCAACAAAAUUAUCUUCUUUAUUUUCAUUGAUGUAACCUUCAAUUACGGCAUCGCCCAUAGGUCCUGUCUUUAAACUUGUGAAAUGCACAGAUUUGAUCGUGUUCGGUUCUUUAGUGUUAUGCUUGAGAUAGAGUGUAAUACGCUCUUGUUGUUCUUUAUAAUAAAUUGAUUUUUGCUUUUCUUUUUCGUCAUAUUUCACUUUUAAAUAAAUGACUGUAGCAACUAUACAUAUACAUAAAAUAACACCAAUAAUUAUAAAAACAUGUUUUUUGGUCAUUAAAGCAACUCCUAGAAUAUGGUAGGAAAUGAAAAAGUUUUUAUAGUUCUGUAAUUAUGAACAUUAUAGAUUAUAAAUCAUAACACUAAUAUAGUCGCCUUCACUCACUUGAUUGUUAAAAUCACCAAUUACUGAGAAUUGUACAAGGAAUAAUUGUCUAUCAUGCCCUUAUAUCAUUAUUGCCUUACUAAUAUUAACAAAACCGAUAGCUAUUACAUUAAAUGCCUAUAUCCCAGACCUCAAACACCUUUUUAUACAGGACGCACUGUAAUUUCAUUCACGUUAACGUGCUUUGGUUGUGUUAAUGCAUAUAAUACUGCUUCUGCAAUAUCUUGUGGUUCAAGUUUUUUACGAUCUGUUGGAUUGUAUGCGGCAGUUAUUGCUGUAUCUACCAUUCCUGGAGAAAUGCUUGUUACUUUAACACCUGUCUUUGCCAACUCUUUUUCUAAUCCUUGAGUAAUAGUGUGAACUGCUGCUUUCGUCGCACUAUAAAUCGUACUGCUUUUCGUUACUUCAAAGCCAGAAAUAGAUGCAAUGUUAAUAAGAUGACCACUUGAUUGUUCUAACAUAGUUGGUAAUGCAGCCUGUGCCGUAUAUAAAGUGCCUUUGAUAUUCACAUCAAUCAUACUAUCCCACUCAUCUACUUGAUAAUCAGUAAUCUUAGACGAUAACAUUUGUCCCGCACUAUUGAUAACAAUAUCCAAACCACCGAAUGUUUGUUGUGCAAUUUUUAUCAAUUCAUCGACUUCUUCUUUUUUCGUUACAUCUGUUGGCACUACCUUCACACUAUCUUGAGCUAAUUGAUUCGCCACAUUUUGUAGUUUAUCUUUAUUUCUACCGGCUAAGAUGACUUUCACACCCUCUUCAUGUAGUAAUGUUGCAAUUGCUUCUCCAAUACCACUACCUGCACCUGUAACUACUGCUACUUUAUCUGUUAAUACUGUCAUAAUGAUCGACUCCUUUGAUUCUUUUUAUUUUUUCAGGGUAAAUCAUAAAUACAUAUUACUUUUAAAAAGCGUAUCACAAUUCAUAUAACGGUCAUAAUAACUCGCUUCAUUUUCAUAGAUAAAUUACAUUACAAGCCAUUCUAAAUAUACAAUUAAUCGUUGCUUAUAUUUUUUAUUUUUAAAAAUGUUGAAAAAUCGUCACUUCUUUAUUGUAAAAACAUUAUAUUAGUACUAAAGUUAAUACUGUGAUUUAUCAUUCGAUUGAAUGAUUAGAGGGAGGAAUAAAACGUGACAUAUCAUGAGCGUGUUUUAGCAUUAAGAGCAGAAAGUAAAAGAACCGCAUUUGAUUUUCGAUUCGAAGAUUUAUUUAGCAAAGAAGAAUGGCUAAGUAUGUCGCUUGCAGAAAGACAAAAAGCUGAAAAAGCAUUUCGACACGAAGUUAAAAAUAUGGACGAUGUAAGAAUGCCCUUCUCAAGUGUCCAUGACGCCCAAGUAAAAUUAUAUAAUGUUGUAUAUUCUUAUAACGGCAUUAAACGUAAUUUUAAACAAGUUGAAAAUGAAGGAUUCUAAUAUCAUUUCGUUUAUAUAUAGCAGACAUGAUAGAAUUUUAUAUGUAAAUCUUGUAGGUUGUAAAUGUCAAUAUAAAAAUGUACAUAAAUGAUUGUAUAAGAAUGUACAAAAUUGUUUGCUAAGUAAUUUCCUUCUUAGGUGAAUGAUCUUUUAAUCUAUACGAUUUGCCUUUGAUUUUAACUACACUUGAAUGAUGCAAUAUCCUAUCCAAAAUCGCAUUUGCGAUUUUUGGAUCAUCAAAUAUUUCAUUCCAUAAGUUGAAAUUGAUAUUUGUGGUAAAUAUUGUACUUUUCUUCUCAUAUCUUAAAUCUAUUAAUUGAAAGAAUAGUUUGGCAUCUUCACUUCCAAUAGGUAAGUACCCAAUCUCAUCUAUGAUUAAUAACUUAUACUUGCUAUAGUGCUUCAAUCUAUUUUCUAAUCUGUUCUCAAGUUUUGCUUUUCUUAAAUUCUCUAUCAAAUGAUGACAUUUAAUAAAGUAAGUACUCACUCUAUUUUUAGCUGCAGCCAUACCAAUGCCUGUAGCUAAAUGUGUUUUGCCAACGCCACUUGAGCCUAAAAAGACAAUGUUUUGAUAUUUUUCUAUAAAACGCAAAUCUGUAAAAUCCCAAAUUUCUUGUUGAUUGAUGCUCGNUGGUUAGCUUCUGCGAAGCUACGAAUCGAAGCCCCAGUAAACGGCGGCCGUAACUAUAACGGUCCUAAGGUAGCGAAAUUCCUUGUCGGGUAAGUUCCGACCCGCACGAAAGGCGUAACGAUUUGGGCACUGUCUCAACGAGAGACUCGGUGAAAUCAUAGUACCUGUGAAGAUGCAGGUUACCCGCGACAGGACGGAAAGACCCCGUGGAGCUUUACUGUAGCCUGAUAUUGAAAUUCGGCACAGCUUGUACAGGAUAGGUAGGAGCCUUUGAAACGUGAGCGCUAGCUUACGUGGAGGCGCUGGUGGGAUACUACCCUAGCUGUGUUGGCUUUCUAACCCGCACCACUUAUCGUGGUGGGAGACAGUGUCAGGCGGGCAGUUUGACUGGGGCGGUCGCCUCCUAAAAGGUAACGGAGGCGCUCAAAGGUUCCCUCAGAAUGGUUGGAAAUCAUUCAUAGAGUGUAAAGGCAUAAGGGAGCUUGACUGCGAGACCUACAAGUCGAGCAGGGUCGAAAGACGGACUUAGUGAUCCGGUGGUUCCGCAUGGAAGGGCCAUCGCUCAACGGAUAAAAGCUACCCCGGGGAUAACAGGCUUAUCUCCCCCAAGAGUUCACAUCGACGGGGAGGUUUGGCACCUCGAUGUCGGCUCAUCGCAUCCUGGGGCUGUAGUCGGUCCCAAGGGUUGGGCUGUUCGCCCAUUAAAGCGGUACGCGAGCUGGGUUCAGAACGUCGUGAGACAGUUCGGUCCCUAUCCGUCGUGGGCGUAGGAAAUUUGAGAGGAGCUGUCCUUAGUACGAGAGGACCGGGAUGGACAUACCUCUGGUGUACCAGUUGUCGUGCCAACGGCAUAGCUGGGUAGCUAUGUGUGGACGGGAUAAGUGCUGAAAGCAUCUAAGCAUGAAGCCCCCCUCAAGAUGAGAUUUCCCAACUUCGGUUAUAAGAUCCCUCAAAGAUGAUGAGGUUAAUAGGUUCGAGGUGGAAGCAUGGUGACAUGUGGAGCUGACGAAUACUAAUCGAUCGAAGACUUAAUCAA
This 5369-nucleotide ribosomal RNA is filed under the name Staphylococcus aureus. RNAcentral describes it as "23S ribosomal RNA". The stretch from base 3937 to 5369 matches the Rfam family "Bacterial large subunit ribosomal RNA". The record is from RNAcentral. Lineage: Bacteria; Bacillati; Bacillota; Bacilli; Caryophanales; Staphylococcaceae.